UAAACUUUCGGCAAUGGAUGUCUUGGCUCGCACAACGAUGAAGACCGCAGCU
Molecule: ribosomal RNA, 52 nt
Filed under: uncultured eukaryote
Lineage: Eukaryota
Description: partial 5.8S ribosomal RNA
Rfam family: 5.8S ribosomal RNA
About the family: 5.8S ribosomal RNA (5.8S rRNA) is a component of the large subunit of the eukaryotic ribosome. It is transcribed by RNA polymerase I as part of the 45S precursor that also contains 18S and 28S rRNA. Functionally, it is thought that 5.8S rRNA may be involved in ribosome translocation.
Source: RNAcentral